This is a long non-coding RNA of Clupea harengus (Atlantic herring), 1304 nucleotides long. NCBI's taxonomy places the organism in Eukaryota, Metazoa, Chordata, Actinopteri, Clupeiformes, Clupeidae. The record is from Ensembl.
UACAGUGGGUGACUUUUAUGGGAAUCCAUAUUGUAUAUAUGAUGGGUAUGAAGGAAUAGGUAUAGUUAUUGAAAUGUUGAAUACAUGGGUGUUGCUUGAGGAUUGUAGCUUGGUGGAAGUGAGUGGAAUUGGAUUGUGGAUAGAAUGGGAAUUAGUGGGAAUAAAUAAAUAAGGUAAUUGACAGAUUGAAUAAAGCACAGUUAUAUAUUGCAUAGCAUAUAAUACAUUUUGGCGAUUGCUCCUGGCUGGUGGUAAUCUGUGAGUUUCACACAUGGGAUUAUUUACAGUUUAAGAAUAUGAAAUUCGGUUUGCUGGUGAAAUACAUGUGUGAUACAUAUUGGGUUGAAAGGUUGAUUAAGUAGUGGAUGAAUGCUGAGAGUUGGAUAGUUAGAAUGGGCUAUAGAUAAGGACUUUUAAAUUAAUAAAUGAGGGUUUAAAACAUUAGAUAAUUUCUUGAAAUAAAAUUAAAAACAGGGUAAUUACAUAUGCAUUUAUAGAUUGAGGGAAUAGGAAAAUGGAUAGACAAAAGGAAAGUGGUUUGAAGAAGGUACAUGGAAAGUAAGAAUGAGGAGGUAAAUGGGAAGUUAAAGAGAUGGAGAAAGAGGGGUAGGAUAUGUAAUGUUUCACUUAUUAGUUUUCACAUACAGAUGAGAGGAGUGACAGAGAGAAGGGGAGCCGUGUGCAAGUGUCAGUGGAACCUGAAAGCAAGCCAGGUUGAGGAUGGAACUAGAUGGCUGAUGGCUGAUCUAAGGUUGAUGUGAGGAAUUGUGUGGGGUUUGUUGUUAACACCUUGAAAGUAUAUAUGAAAAUAACAUGGUUUUUAAGUGUCUCUUACAGGUUUGGUGGAAACAUUAAAAGUGAUUCGGGCUGAGGUGCAGCAGGAACAAGAUGGUUUAUUUGUGUAUUUGGUUUGUUUGUAUUUGCUUUGGGGGAUGGGCGAUAGGAAGGAGUGACAUGCCCUUUGAAGUAUUGGUAUAUGGUGUGAGUGGGGUGAUUUUAGUAUUCAAGCCAGGUUAUAGUAACCAAGUUAAGAUCCUUUGUCAUUAUAAAUGUGACUAAGGGGGGUGAGUUUUUAUGCUUUGAUAAGCCACGUGGGCAGGGUUUCCUGUCAGAUAGUGUUUCAGCAAUUCAUUUAUAGCCAAACUUAGUGAUAAAGAUAUUAUGUACAUAUGUGAUGAUAUUAGUUAAUGGGAUAAGACCAAAUUGAUUUAAAAGAGGGGUAAACUGCAGGCUUGGUAAACUAUUGAGCUGUUAUUGUGGCCACAUGACAACUCUAUACAUGUUAUCUGCCUUGUCCAUUUGCA